RNAcentral lists this long non-coding RNA (680 nucleotides) under Octopus vulgaris (common octopus). The record is from RNAcentral. Lineage: Eukaryota; Metazoa; Mollusca; Cephalopoda; Octopoda; Octopodidae.
CUUUAAUCCCAUGAACUCUCCACUUUUAAUAGCCUUUUAUACCUCUUUCUUUUCAGAAUCAACAACCGCAAGUGUACACUCAUCCAUCUAUACACACUUCUCAUUCAGAACAUCUUGAGUUCCUGGUUCGGUCUUGUAUCCUGGAGCAUUUCCUGCCUCUCAUCCUCAUCUUCUACAACUUUGGUAAGCCUCUUCCUUUUUUCUCUUUGCAAUGUUUAACCCAUUACCUCUGUCCACUUCACAGUUCCACCACCAUGUCAACCUUUAACCUGGCUGGAACUUUGCACCAACCUCAUAUUUGGUUCUUUGCUCUCAACAGGUUGCCCCAAAGGGAACUUCCAUUUGUCCACAAUGUUAUAUGUCUCUAUCUCAUCAAAUGCUUCAAGAAGUACUUCUCUAAAUCUCUGACUAUUCACCGAUCCUUUAAGCUCCCAUAUCAUCCCUUUCCGAACUGGUUUAUGUCUCCGAGUCUUUCUAGUUUCAAGUCAGAAGCCAGGAGCUGAGUUAUACAUUCCCCACUUGGGAAUGACUUCGCAUUCACAAGAAUUGGUCUGUCCUAUUUCCUGGUGAGGCUGCAGUCAAUCGGCAAUCAGCCAGAUUGAUGAGUGAUCAAGUGGCAGGUUGGUCACUCAAAAGUUAAGUGUUGCACAUCAAACCAUUUGCACCACUGAACUUUGGCC